Non-coding RNA from Ascodesmis nigricans, 89 nucleotides. Lineage: Eukaryota; Fungi; Ascomycota; Pezizomycetes; Pezizales; Ascodesmidaceae. The record is from the annotation of a GenBank genome assembly.
GGUUCUGUAGUGUAGUGGUUAGCACACGGGAUUUUGAUGGAACCUUCCAAAUCUUUCCCGUAUCCUGGGUUCAAGCCCCAGCAGGACCU